Molecule: ribosomal RNA, 785 nt
Filed under: Salmonella enterica subsp. enterica serovar Typhimurium str. SL1344
Lineage: Bacteria; Pseudomonadati; Pseudomonadota; Gammaproteobacteria; Enterobacterales; Enterobacteriaceae
Description: partial 23S ribosomal RNA
Rfam family: Bacterial large subunit ribosomal RNA
Source: RNAcentral
CGUAUCACCCAAGACAACUUUACGGAGUUGACGAUUGACGGAGCGAAGCGACGUCAAAGCGUUCAUUAAAGUCGAGUUGGCUUAGGGAUACGUUCGUUGGGUAGGGGAGCGUUCUGUAAGCCUGUGAAGGUGUGUCGUGAGGCAUGCUGGAGGUAUCAGAAGUGCGAAUGCUGACAUAAGUAACGAUAAAGCGGGUGAAAAGCCCGCUCGCCGGAAGACCAAGGGUUCCUGUCCAACGUUAAUCGGGGCAGGGUGAGUCGACCCCUAAGGCGAGGCCGAAAGGCGUAGUCGAUGGGAAACGGGUUAAUAUUCCCGUACUUGGUGUUACUGCGAAGGGGGGACGGAGAAGGCUAUGUUGGCCGGGCGACGGUUGUCCCGGUUUAAGGGUGUAGGUGUGUGUUCCAGGUAAAUCCGGUUCACUUUAACACUGAGGCGUGACGACGAGGCACUACGGUGCUGAAGCAACAAAUGCCCUGCUUCCAGGAAAAGCCUCUAAGCAUCAGGUAACACGAAAUCGUACCCCAAACCGACACAGGUGGUCAGGUAGAGAAUACCAAGGCGCUUGAGAGAACUCGGGUGAAGGAACUAGGCAAAAUGGUGCCGUAACUUCGGGAGAAGGCACGCUGACACGUAGGUGAAGUGAUUUACUCAUGGAGCUGAAGUCAGUCGAAGAUACCAGCUGGCUGCAACUGUUUAUUAAAAACACAGCACUGUGCAAACACGAGAGUGGACGUAUACGGUGUGACGCCUGCCCGGUGCCGGAAGGUUAAUUGAUGGGGUCAGCG